Molecule: ribosomal RNA, 202 nt
Filed under: Hyphomicrobiales bacterium
Lineage: Bacteria; Pseudomonadati; Pseudomonadota; Alphaproteobacteria; Hyphomicrobiales
Description: partial 16S ribosomal RNA
Rfam family: Bacterial small subunit ribosomal RNA
Source: RNAcentral
CAACUUGAGAGUUUGAUCCUGGCUCAGAGCGAACGCUGGCGGCAGGCCUAACACAUGCAAGUCGAGCGCCCCGCAAGGGGAGCGGCAGACGGGAGAGUAACACGUGGGAACGUACCCUUUGGUUCGGAACAACCCAGGGAAACUUGGGCUAAUACCGGAUAAGCCCUUACGGGGAAAGAUUCAUCGCCGAAGGAUCGGCCCG